CCUACGGGUGGCAGCAGUGAGGAAUAUUGGUCAAUGGACGAGAGUCUGAACCAGCCAAGUAGCGUGAAGGAUGACUGCCCUAUGGGUUGUAAACUUCUUUUAUAAAGGAAUAAAACGAGGCACGUGUGCCUUGUUGCAUGUACUUUAUGAAUAAGGAUCGGCUAACUCCGUGCCAGCAGCCGCGGUAAUACGGAGGAUCCGAGCGUUAUCCGGAUUUAUUGGGUUUAAAGGGAGCGUAGAUGGGUUGUUAAGUCAGUUGUGAAAGUUUGCGGCUCCACCGUAAAAGUGCAAUUGUUACUUGCAGUCUUGUGUACAGUUGCGGUAGGCGUACUUCGUGUUGUAGCG
Molecule: ribosomal RNA, 345 nt
Filed under: uncultured bacterium
Lineage: Bacteria
Description: partial 16S ribosomal RNA
Rfam family: Bacterial small subunit ribosomal RNA
Source: RNAcentral